GUGGGGAAUAUUGGACAAUGGGCGAAAGCCUGAUCCAGCCAUGCCGCGUGUGUGAAGAAGGUCUUCGGAUUGUAAAGCACUUUAAGUUGGGAGGAAGGGCAGUAAGUUAAUACCUUGCUGUUUUGACGUUACCGACAGAAUAAGCACCGGCUAACUUCGUGCCAGCAGCCGUGGUAAUACGAAGGGUGCAAGCGUUAAUCGGAAUUACUGGGCGUAAAGCGCGCGUAGGUGGUUUUGUAAGUUGGAGGUGAAAUCCCCGGGCUCAACCUGGGAACUGCCUCCAAAACUGCAUGACUAGAGUACGGUAGAGGGUAGUGGAAUUUCCUGUGUAGCGGUGAAAUGCGUAGAUAUAGGAAGGAACACCAGUGGCGAAGGCGACUACCUGGACUGAUACUGACACUGAGGUGCGAAAGCGUGGGGAGCAAACAGGAUUAGAUACCCGUGUAGUCC
Molecule: ribosomal RNA, 450 nt
Filed under: uncultured bacterium
Lineage: Bacteria
Description: partial 16S ribosomal RNA
Rfam family: Bacterial small subunit ribosomal RNA
Source: RNAcentral